Molecule: long non-coding RNA, 779 nt
Organism: Bombyx mori (domestic silkworm)
Lineage: Eukaryota; Metazoa; Arthropoda; Insecta; Lepidoptera; Bombycidae
Exons: 2
Source: RefSeq, a predicted model, not a curated record
GCUGUUUGUCCAUAAUUCGAGAAACAUUCACAUUAUUUCAACCGCAUCCUGUUACAAGCGCACCCAGUAUACUCUAAACGUGGUUAUUAUUAUUUCUACGGCGAGUCGUUGGUUCAAGAUUUAAAAAUACGCUUGAUGUACCUAAGUAAAUCGGACCAACUCGUUGGUCCGAUCAGAUCCGCACCGCUUUGGACAGUGCAGUGUACAGCGCGCUGCAUGACGCCGUGGACAGGGGAAAGUGGAAAAAGAUCCUAAAAUUGAAGCUCAUGGGUGAUGGUGGUCACGACCCUCAGACAUGAGGAACGCGACUCGAGGAGGACCUAACGUUGCAAGGUCGCGAUAGCCAUUUGCAUUUGCAACUUGCCCGACAAGCUCCACAGACUGCAGCGUAACUCGGACUAGCUCGCACAUGGAGUUAAUAAGUACCUACAACUGGAGUGCUGUCUAAUGCCGAGAAAUAGGUCUCGAAAGAGAAAACUUUUUGGUCGCGGUGUCCUCGUCUAGUGUGGUGACCAUAUAAAAUUUAUUAAAUCUUAAUGUUACAACCAAUCUUUAUUUUGGACUUAUACUAUCGUAGGAUUAGAUAUGUAAUAUUUAUAUAAUAGACUAUCGUAGGAUAGUAUCCUGCUUUUGAAUAAACGGUGUCAUAAGGUUUAAUAUUAGGUCAAACGAGAUCGAAUCCAUUUAUAGAUAAUUUUUCAAAUCUGCUGGUUCUAAAUCACUCAUAAUGUUCAUAUUUGAUAACAUUCGGCACAGCAAUAAAUAUUUCUUCACCGAUA